Molecule: ribosomal RNA, 449 nt
Filed under: uncultured bacterium
Lineage: Bacteria
Description: bacterial SSU rRNA
Rfam family: Bacterial small subunit ribosomal RNA
Source: RNAcentral
GGCCAGACUCCUACGGGAGGCAGCAGUGGGGAAUAUUGCACAAUGGGGGAAACCCUGAUGCAGCAACGCCGCGUGAGUGAAGAAGUAUUUCGGUAUGUAAAGCUCUAUCAGCAGGGAAGAAGAUGACGGUACCUGACUAAGAAGCCCCGGCUAACUACGUGCCAGCAGCCGCGGUAAUACGUAGGGGGCAAGCGUUAUCCGGAUUUACUGGGUGUAAAGGGAGCGUAGACGGCAUGGCAAGUCAGAUGUGAAAGCCCGGGGCUCAACCCCGGGACUGCAUUUGAAACUGUCAGGCUGGAGUGCAGGAGAGGUAAGUGGAAUUCCUAGUGUAGCGGUGAAAUGCGUAGAUAUUAGGAGGAACACCAGUGGCGAAGGCGGCUUACUGGACUGUAACUGACGUUGAGGCUCGAAAGCGUGGGGAGCAAACAGGAUUAGAUACCCCAGUAGCA